This 380-nucleotide ribosomal RNA is filed under the name uncultured bacterium. RNAcentral describes it as "bacterial SSU rRNA". It matches the Rfam family "Bacterial small subunit ribosomal RNA", at positions 30 to 424 of the family's 1533-position model. The record is from RNAcentral.
AUUGAACGCUGGCGGCAGGCUUAACACAUGCAAGUCGAGCGGAGACUUCGGUCUUAGCGGCGAACGGGUGAGUAAUACCUAGGAAUCUGCCUAUUAGUGGGGGAUAACGAAUCGAAAGGUUCGCUAAUACCGCAUACGUCCUACGGGAGAAAGGGGGGAGUCUUUGGACCUCUCGCUAAUAGAUGAGCCUAGGCCGGAUUAGCUAGUUGGUAGGGUAAAGGCCUACCAAGGCGACGAUCUGUAGCUGGUCUGAGAGGAUGGCCAGCCACACUGGAACUGAGACACGGUCCAGACUCCUACGGGAGGCAGCAGUGGGGAAUAUUGGACAAUGGGGGCAACCCUGAUCCAGCCAUGCCGCGUGUGUGAAGAAGGCCUCGGUU